CCCAUCCAGCCGCAGGAGCAGACUCAAAGGAGCUGAUGGGCAGGACAUUCCUUCGGCCACGACCAAAGAAAUCUGGGGAAGACCGGGCUGAUUUCCAAGAACGCAUAGAGAACACGGAAUUUUCCAAGUUGAUUUGUUCGCAGGCCCUUGCUCCACCCGCCCCCUUUUUAUUUGCAGCCGGCGGAGCACCCAUGGGGCUGGGGAGGGGGGUGACAGAGGAGGAGACGGGAACAGCCUGGAACGGAGGCAAAGCCAGGUCAUGCAGAGUCUCCGGUGCCCAGCAGCGGCUUUACUGCGAGGGUACUGGGCACGUGAGAGGGUUCUAGGCAGGAGCCUUGGUCAGGUGACCACUCGAACUCCCCGCACCCUUGUCUGAAAACGGGGCUAAUGACAGUGCUCCAUUCAGGCGUGGUAAUGAGUAAAUGAGAGAUGACGCUGUAGAAGGUGCUACAGAGCGCCAGACGCGGACAUGGCUGAGACCCAGCUUCACCCCGUAGAUGUUUACAACACCCGAGGGAAUGGUGGAGAAACGAGAUGGAAAGAACCUGAGUCACCAAACGACUGAGUGACGGGAUCCACUCACCCAAAGGUGUCAGCGGUGAGCUGAGGGGGGAACAGAAUUUGUUCAAGACGCACAGCUCUAAAGAAUGGAAACAGCCUGCCAUCCAUCAUAACCAGGGAGACCGGUUAAAUAAGGGCAGGGCUCUUUAAACAGACCACCGUGCAGCCAUAUAAAAGAACAAAGAAACUCAGCUUGAGUGAAUGAAGAACUGUCUCCAAGAUACAUCCCGAAAAAGCAAGGUGCAGACCGUGGACAUUGUAUGUGACCAUGUGUAUUAAAAUGGGUGAAAUAUAGGAGUAUAAAUACAUAAUUUUUUUUUUUCUCGAAUACAAAUAAACUCUCUCGGAAGCACACAAGAGCCCGGAGAACACGGGCUGCCUCCAGGAAGGAGGGCAGGAGGGAGAAUUUUCUCCCUCUAUCCUUUUGUGGUUUUGGGGUUUCAAUCAUGAGAAUGAAUUAGCUAUGAAACAAUUCAUAAUUAUCAUUGAAUAAAGAAUACAUUCCGGCUUAAAGA
Molecule: long non-coding RNA, 1076 nt
Organism: Neofelis nebulosa (Clouded leopard)
Lineage: Eukaryota; Metazoa; Chordata; Mammalia; Carnivora; Felidae
Exons: 4
Source: RefSeq, a predicted model, not a curated record